GCCUCCUUGGCUCAGUUGGUUAGAGCGCCGGUCUCAUAAGCCGGAGAUCGAGAGUUCGAGCCUCUCAGGAGGCA
RNAcentral lists this transfer RNA (74 nucleotides) under Volvariella volvacea V23. RNAcentral's name for it is "tRNA-Met (CAT) (tRNA-Met-CAT-3-1)". It matches the Rfam family "tRNA". From Rfam's summary of the family: Transfer RNA (tRNA) molecules are approximately 80 nucleotides in length. Their secondary structure includes four short double-helical elements and three loops (D, anti-codon, and T loops). The record is from RNAcentral. Lineage: Eukaryota; Fungi; Basidiomycota; Agaricomycetes; Agaricales; Pluteaceae.